Molecule: long non-coding RNA, 950 nt
Organism: Benincasa hispida (wax gourd)
Lineage: Eukaryota; Viridiplantae; Streptophyta; Magnoliopsida; Cucurbitales; Cucurbitaceae
Source: RefSeq, a predicted model, not a curated record
CCCUUACUUUUCUAUGGUCUCACACUUUGCCCUUCUCAGUCUUCCGUCUUCUCUCUUCAUGGAUUUACCAAUCCCCAGUGUUGAGCCACGAGAAACGAUGGCUCGAAGUUCCAACAGUUAUAGACCUAUAAUUUUGCUCUUCUUCCUCAAUCCCCACACCUUCUCCAAACUAUUCCACCUCCAAUUCUCUCUCUUUUUUCUCUUCUCAUUAUUUUUUAGUAACCCAUCUCUUUUUUUUUUUUUUACCUCCCUUUGGAUUGAACUAUCCUGUUGUUUCUUAAUUUGUUUUUUUUUUCAAUUGCAGGUGCCAAGAAUUUGCUUCUGGUGUUGCUGAGAUUAUGGGUGUUGCUUCGCUUUUCUCCCUCUGUACAAAUGAUGUGGUUGCUUCAGAUGAUGGGGUUGUGUGAGGGCUUCGAUCUGUUGGUCUUGGCGUGUUCCAAGAGAAGGGUUGGGUUGUUUAAGUUCUUAUCCUGAAAAUGAGAGUAACUAGCUGAUUUCCUCAAAUGGCUCUUCCAUUUUCAUUCUCUUCUUCCUUUUCUUCACAUCACACGGUGUUCAAAUCCGGACUGUUUUAUCACUCUUUUUAAUGAUGCAAUAGUAGCUGCUAAUCCCAAAAUUUACCAUGAUGAUAUCAACAUAAAGAAUGUGGGAGUUGUGGUCAUAAGAGUUGAUGAAUGAAGGGAAUACAGUGUUGAUGUUUGAACCCAAGUCUUCCAUUGGCAGUAAAGUUCCAAUCCUUGUACUUGAACCAUUUUUCUUCAAUUUGCAAUUAAUGCCACUUCUUUGCACCAACCACUUACCUCAAUAAGUGUUUUCUUUUACGCUCUUUGAUUUUGGUUUUAAUUUCCUUUAAUGUAUGAAUUGUUGCAGUGAAUUGGUGAAACAAUUUGGCUAUUGCCAAAAAUUCAUCUAUCUAUCCACGAGAAAGUGUGUUUAGUAUUGAAAAGCAA